UCUCUCUCUGUGUCUCUCUCCUCUUCUUAUAAGGACACCAGUCAUAUUGGAUUAUGGAGCCACCCUUCUCCAUUAUAACCUCAUUUUAACUAGUUAUGUCUGUAAUGACCCUAGUGGUGACAUCCUCCUCCUUAGCACUCUGCUCCCUUGGUUCUCUGGCCACACUCUGAGUCUCACACUCCAGACCGGGUGUUCCCUCUUGCGCUUGCUCAUCUUACUCAUCCUAUGUCCUAAAUGUGGGUGCUUCCCAACUCACAUUUCUCUGUCCUUCCCUUCACAUUCUUUCUUUCUGAAAUCUCUUCCAUUCUCAGUUUCAGUUGUAACUUCUAUGCCAUUGGCUCUCCCUUCUGUGUCAGUCUGUUUCUCCCUGCUGCCCUCUCCCCUAAGCUCCAGCCUCAUACCUUCAAACUCCUGCUAGACAAGAAGUCCUACCAUCAUCUCUAGCCCAGCAUGCUCAAGCCAGGUAUUUUUCUUCCUUGAAAAGCUUUCAUCCUGUCUCACCAUAUGCACUGACACACAUGUCCUGGCCCAAGUCCUUGCUGUCUCAUGGAAGGAACACUACAGCAAUGCCCUAGUUAACUGGCUUGAUGCCAGUCUCCACCCUUCCAGUGUGUCUUGCAUAACCUUGACCAACUAAUCUCUCCAAACCCAAUUUUAAUUCUUUUAUUCCCUGUGCUCAGCCAUUCCCUAUGUUCUGCUGCUUCAUGUUUACACUCCUCUGACAUCUCUUUAUCCACCAUCUUCACCCAGUAUAAUUUCCCAUGGCUUCAAUAUGCACUUGUACUCUAGUUAGGCAUUGCUUCUCUGCAAAACUGAGCAUAUUCUCAUUUCUGUGCUGUGACUUAUGUUAUCCACUCAACCCUUUAUCCUCUCCAAUCUUGCCUCUUCCAUCAGGCCCCAGAUCAAAUCUCACCUCUUCUAUGCAGUUUUCUCUACCAUUUCAGGUUUCAUUCAUUUCAGUGGAGCCUCAAGGAAAGAAUAACAGAAAAGUGGUCAGAAAUGCAGGAUGAACUUGCUCUCUCCGUGUCCUCUGUUCUUAGCUUCUAUGUUUAUAUUUGCUCCAUCUUUCUCUCUCUCAUCUCAGAACUUCUAAAAAUCAGCAUACACAUUACUCUGAGCUGUCCUGUUUUAUUAAUUGUUGCUUUACGUCUCUUCUCAACUAUUUUAUCAGACAAGUGAGGGCAAAGGCCACAACUCAUCUUUUUUUCCCUUAAUAGCUAUACCACCUAACACAAUAUUGAAUACUUACUAAACAAUUUUCACUUAAUUUACUUAAUACAAUUUCACAAUAAGUUGAGUGGAGUUUCUUACAGAAGUGCCAAAAAACUGUUUCUGAAACCUAAUGUGUUCUAGACACUAGUUUUCUAAGCCAAAAAUAUUUCACUGAAGGUAGACAGAGUCUGCAAUGU
Molecule: long non-coding RNA, 1409 nt
Filed under: Homo sapiens (human)
Lineage: Eukaryota; Metazoa; Chordata; Mammalia; Primates; Hominidae
Description: HSALNT0332554
Source: RNAcentral